Long non-coding RNA from Nycticebus coucang (slow loris), 2938 nucleotides. RefSeq lists it as uncharacterized. The record is from RefSeq and is a predicted model, not a curated record. Lineage: Eukaryota; Metazoa; Chordata; Mammalia; Primates; Lorisidae. The transcript has 5 exons.
GGUUCUGACUCAGCCACUUUGCAGUAUCUGCUGCAAAAAGGUGUUUUCAUAAUUUAAAAAAUCAGAGUUAUUGAAAAUUUAAAGCAAGCAAGUUAUUUCUUUUUUUCUUUGGCUAUUUUAAAUGCUCCCUCUGGCUACCCUUCUACCCACUUAGGCUAUAACAGCCAGGAAGUUCACCUUGACCAGCCCAAGGGGAUGAGGAAGAAUGAAGAAACCUGAGAGGUGGCUGCAGCCUCUGAGGUGCGGGAGUGGAGAGCCAGGCAUGGUGCCACAGGACUGGAAAUCAGGCUGCUUGCUCAGUCAACCUCAUCUAGGUCUCUCUGGUCUGCGGUUCUGGCCAUGAAAGCUGAUCAACAGAGACUUUUGCAAUUUCAAUACUUCUGGCUCUGCUGUUAUUCUUUAGACUGUGCAGAACUGACCCUUGUAUUACAUUUGGGUGCUUUUUUGUGUCAGCAGCCCUUUCCAAAUAAACAACAUGGCCGUAGCCUACCAAGGGAAUGGACUGGAUUGUCCGGGUUUAGUUCCUGGCUGUGCAGCUAACAAUUCUAGGUGUUGGGUACUAGUAGAAGAAACUAUCAGAGAGGUUAAGUGACUUAUCCAAGGUCACCGAACAAGUGAGCAACGGAGUGACAGAGAGACUCCAGCUGGUCACAAAAAAUCCCUGGACUGCGCAUGUCCCAGCGUGGAAUGCAAGCCAGGUCUUCUUAACUUUACACAUGAGUCCGGAUUGUCGACCCUUUUUUUUGGAGGUGACUGCUGCCCUGACAUCUUCUGCUACAGGAGAGGUGAUGAAGGAUGAGUGAGCAUCACAGACCGAGCUUACUGCCUAGGUUGAAACUUCAGCUUUGCCACUUCUAAGCUGUGUGUCUUUGGACAAGACUUUCAGCUUCGUAUGUUCUUCCAAAGGCAGUCAGUACAAGGCUCUCCAACCAAAACCUCUACUGAUCUGGGUCUAGAAGGCAGCCAUGGAUCUCAGUUGGGUUUAGUUCUGCCAAUGAAAUGCACUUUCAUACUAUUGAGAAGACAGAAGGAGGUGGAGACUGUUUUCCAAUAGCUGUGACAAUGGACAAAUAGUUGUCAACAAAAGCGAGUAGCUGUGGCCAGACUCCACCUCCACAUCCUGGUCACCACUGUCUGUAACCCAGGUGACAGAAGCUGCAGCUUUUCUGACCUCUAUCCCACCUCCACAUCCUGGUCACCACUGUCUGAAACCCAGGUGACAGUAGCUGAGGCUUUCUGACCUCUGCAGCCUGCAGCUACAGUGAUUGAUCUUGAAAACAAAAGACUAGGAGGCUGAUUUCUACUCCUCCUUCUCUUCCAAAAAUUUGUAAGUACUUAAUAUCCUGGAUUAAGCCAAUCUCUUGCUGCUUGAAAUCUCUGUAAUGAUUUUCUUUUUCCUAUGCUGGACCUGAUAUUGCACCCCAAGCUGGAUGCCAAUCAGUGACUCCCUUUCUACACCUACACAACCACACAUAAUAUGACCAGAGGAAAAAUGCUCUUCACCUAGAGAGCAAACAAAGGGGAUACCAUGGAACAAACUGGAUUGCUAUGUGCUUUAAUGACUCUCCUGGGGAAACUAGUGACAAUGGGCCAAAUGGGGAAUUGCUUCUUAAAGCAGGUGUGUAUGUAGCCUUGUCUUAAUGCAUAGAUUGUAAUAUUCAGUCUUUACUAUUAUGAUACCUGGUCCCAGAACAGACCUAUCUUCUACCUUUUUGGUCCAACAUCCUAAUGUCCUAGAGAGAAAAUGCAUGAAAUUCCACCAGCAUACUUGUUAGCACACUGUGUAAACAAGAUGCCCCUCUAACAAGGCAGAUGCACAAGAGUCCGUGACCAUUGGCAAUUAGGCAGAUGUCAGACAAAGUUAGAGGCACUAAAAGUAGAGUAAACAAAAGAAGAACACUUUAUGGGCACCAUGAAUCCCUCCCACCCGAGGAAUGUAAAAAAGGAGCAGACAUUUGGAGAUCAAGAGUCCCUGGGAUUUGUAGCCAUCAAGACCAAAAAUACUCAUUUCAAACAAAGAUGCCAUUUUACAGAAAAGGAAAGAAAGGAAGCUUCAAAGAGUUCUUAGCCCUGCAAAUUCAAGCACAAAAGGGGUCUUCAAAGACAGCCUGCCCACAGCGUGGAACCUAGGGCCCAGAAGAUGCUAUGAAAUACAUCUUGAAUGGAACACGAAGGAAGAAGGGGUUAAGAUAUUCAGGCACCUUCAUUUUUAAUAAGAAUUGUUGCAGUAUCCAGUUUCUACUUCAGAAGGCUGUUUCCAUGUUCCAAGCAACAGCUGGUCCCACUUUACUGCUGUGGGUACAAUGCGUCCUAGUAAAUCCUGUGUAAUAGAUGUAUUCAUAUGCUCUGUCCUUUUAAUAAUCUUCUUAAUUAGGGUGCUAUCCUUUUAAGCAAAGCAUUUAUAUAGUUACUUUAUUGCAUUUGAAUACAGUAUUAGCUUCAAUAGACUUAAUAUAAUUUUAUGGGUUUUAAAAAAUAUUGCUUUACAAUGAGAGGAAUUUAUUUUAUCAUCAGUGUGGAGUUACUCCCAUGGCUAUUUAAGAGCCAUUGGUACAGAAGUUUAUAAAUUGCUGUUGAGAAGGAACUCUCCUAAAGAUGGAGCAGAUAGUGAUGGCUCUGCCACUUAUUAGCUUAACUUCUGAGAACCUCAACUUUCUUAUCUAUAAAAUGAGUUCAGUAUCUUCCUUGCCUACCUUCUGGAGCAAUUGUGAACAUCAAAUAAAAUACAGUAGAUCCUCUGUAAAUUGACCACCCAAGGGACUGUAAAAAGCUGGUCAACACACACCUAUGGAGCACAUUGCAAGUACAAGUUGGAUCUAUCGGGUGUAGAACACAAAUGUCUAAAUGCUGUAAUUGGGUAAAUGAGGUGAAAGCUAUGUUGAUUAGUAGCAUGUAAGCACUCCAAUUUGUACAAAGAAUCAACACAUUGAAUCCCAUA